This is a long non-coding RNA of Sinocyclocheilus grahami, 371 nucleotides long. RefSeq lists it as uncharacterized. The transcript is spliced from 3 exons. Lineage: Eukaryota; Metazoa; Chordata; Actinopteri; Cypriniformes; Cyprinidae. The record is from RefSeq and is a predicted model, not a curated record.
GAUGUUUUAUUUUAUUAUACUAUUAUUUUUUAUUUUAAAUACUGGAUAGAACGAUAUCAAAUCCGAGAUGUGAUUGACAAUCUAAAAACCAAUAAGAGUCGUCCCUCACAGAAUCUGGACACGCCCCUACAACAUCAUUGGCAGACGAUAUCAAUUCGCGGGGUUUAAUGACAACUGAUGGAAAAAGCCAGUGACUGUCGAUGAGUAAUUGGGUUUAGUGCGACGACUUUGCAAACAGCAAAACAAGCGAAGAAAGCCCAGGGAAACCCUAUCACAGGAGUGCCAUGUUGAGCCUACCAAGCCAUUAGACCCUGGAAAGCCUUGAAGACCCUAAGCACAAGCAGCAGAACUGUAUCAACCCAGUCUUGAUG